This 484-nucleotide ribosomal RNA is filed under the name uncultured bacterium. RNAcentral describes it as "partial 16S ribosomal RNA". It matches the Rfam family "Bacterial small subunit ribosomal RNA", at positions 30 to 507 of the family's 1533-position model. The record is from RNAcentral.
AUUGAACGCUGGCGGCAGGCCUAACACAUGCAAGUCGAGCGGAUGAAGGGAGCUUGCUCCUGGAUUCAGCGGCGGACGGGUGAGUAAUGCCUAGGAAUCUGCCUGGUAGUGGGGGAUAACGUCCGGAAACGGGCGCUAAUACCGCAUACGUCCUGAGGGAGAAAGUGGGGGAUCUUCGGACCUCACGCUAUCAGAUGAGCCUAGGUCGGAUUAGCUAGUUGGUGGGGUAAAGGCCUACCAAGGCGACGAUCCGUAACUGGUCUGAGAGGAUGAUCAGUCACACUGGAACUGAGAAACGGUCCAGACUCCUCCGGGAGGAAGCAGUGGGGAAUAUUGGACAAUGGGCGAAAGCCUGAUCCAGCCAUGCCGCGUGUGUGAAGAAGGUCUUCGGAUUGUAAAGCACUUUAAGUUGGGAGGAAGGGCAGUAAGUUAAUACCUUGCUGUUUUGACGUUACCAACAGAAUAAGCACCGGCUAACUUCGUG